GCGGCGUGCUUAACACAUGCAAGUCGAACGGAAAGGCCCUUCGGGGUACUCGAGUGGCGAACGGGUGAGUAACACGUGGGUGAUCUGCCCUGCACUCUGGGAUAAGCCUGGGAAACUGGGUCUAAUACCGGAUAGGACCACACACUUCAUGGUGAGUGGUGCAAAGCUUUUGCGGUGUGGGAUGAGCCCGCGGCCUAUCAGCUUGUUGGUGGGGUAAUGGCCCACCAAGGCGACGACGGGUAGCCGGCCUGAGAGGGUGACCGGCCACACUGGGACUGAGAUACGGCCCAGACUCCUACGGGAGGCAGCAGUGGGGAAUAUUGCACAAUGGGCGCAAGCCUGAUGCAGCGACGCCGCGUGAGGGAUGACGGCCUUCGGGUUGUAAACCUCUUUCAGUAGGGACGAAGCGAAAGUGACGGUACCUACAGAAGAAGGACCGGCCAACUACGUGCCAGCAGCCGCGGUAAUACGUAGGGUCCGAGCGUUGUCCGGAAUUACUGGGCGUAAAGAGCUCGUAGGUGGUUUGUCGCGUUGUUCGUGAAAACUCACAGCUUAACUGUGGGCGUGCGGGCGAUACGGGCAGACUAGAGUACUGCAGGGGAGACUGGAAUUCCUGGUGUAGCGGUGGAAUGCGCAGAUAUCAGGAGGAACACCGGUGGCGAAGGCGGGUCUCUGGGCAGUAACUGACGCUGAGGAGCGAAAGCGUGGGUAGCGAACAGGAUUAGAUACCCUGGUAGUCCACGCCGUAAACGGUGGGUAACUAGGUGUGGGGUUCCCUUCCUUGGGAUCCGUGCCGUAGCUAACGCAUUAAGUACCCCGCCUGGGGAGUACGGUCGCAAGACUAAAACUCAAAGGAAUUGACGGGGGCCCGCACAAGCGGCGGAGCAUGUGGAUUAAUUCGAUGCAACGCGAAGAACCUUACCUGGGUUUGACAUGCACAGGACGUACCUAGAGAUAGGUAUUCCCUUGUGGCCUGUGUGCAGGUGGUGCAUGGCUGUCGUCAGCUCGUGUCGUGAGAUGUUGGGUUAAGUCCCGCAACGAGCGCAACCCUUGUCCUAUGUUGCCAGCGGGUAAUGCCGGGGACUCGUAGGAGACUGCCGGGGUCAACUCGGAGGAAGGUGGGGAUGACGUCAAGUCAUCAUGCCUCUUAUGUCCAGGGCUUCACACAUGCUACAAUGGCCAGUACAGAGGGCUGCGAAGCCGCAAGGUGGAGCGAAUCCCUUAAAGCUGGUCUCAGUUCGGAUUGGGGUCUGCAACUCGACCCCAUGAAGUCGGAGUCGCUAGUAAUCGCAGAUCAGCAACGCUGCGGUGAAUACGUUCCCGGGCCUUGUACACACCGCCCGUCACGUCAUGAAAGUCGGUAACACCCGAAGCCAGUGGCCUAACCUUUUGGAGGAAGCUGUCGAAGGUGGGAUCGGCGAUUGGGGCGA
This 1430-nucleotide ribosomal RNA is filed under the name uncultured bacterium. RNAcentral describes it as "bacterial SSU rRNA". It matches the Rfam family "Bacterial small subunit ribosomal RNA". The record is from RNAcentral.